AAACAACUGGUGAAUAUACCAUUAGAGCUACUUAUUUGACAGUCUGCAUGAAGCCAGAGGAACAUGCAGUUAACAACAUACAAGAAAUCUCCCCAUCUAGACAGAGUUUGGAAGGAGAGACAGCUUCAUCCUGAUUGCUCCCCAAGCUCCCAUUUGUGAGCUCCACUGAACAAGACACGUUUCUUCAAAAGGCUGAACAAUGCUCAGACAGAUGGAUUCAUAAGAGUACAGGCAUAUUGCAAGAGAGAUUUCUGCAGAAAGAUCACUGGAGAAACUUGAGAGCUUCCCUCCUGAUUGUGAGGAGAGUGUGAGGAAGUAUUUGGCUUUCUAAGUAGCUCUAGCAGACACGCAAACUAGCAGAAACUCAUCAGAAUGACUAGACUCAAAACAGGAAAUUAACACCCUGCGGUGUGGCGGCAAGGCCUCAGAGGAAGCAGCGGUGGGGUACACGAGGCUGAGGAUGAACAAAGACCCAUAAACAUAACGUCACCCAUAAAAGUCACACUUGAAGGCACAGGAAGGAUACUAAACAACACUUGGCUGCAUUACAUUCUUGCAGUUAAAAAAAAAAAAAAGUGCCUCAGGUUGAGAGGCAAAGAGUUUACGAGGCAGUUAUUUUCUGGGGUUUUGCUACUAUAUUUUUAUUUUGAGCAGCGGAGUUCAAAGUUCGGCAUAGGAAAUACCCCACAAGCUCCCAAAUGUUAGGUUUCCACUUGACACGUGGCUCAAGGCUAAGAUACUGCUUUUUAUCUACCUCCCUGUUUAUUUGGGCUAUUUCCUCUUCAGAAGCGUUUCGACUUUUCUACGGGCAGCUGGAUGGAUUUCUAAUGUUACCAUGGUAUUGCUGACCUUUAACAUGGGGCUGUUAACGUGACCUUUGCUUCUUUCCAUUUCUACAAG
This is a long non-coding RNA of Gallus gallus (chicken), 900 nucleotides long. Lineage: Eukaryota; Metazoa; Chordata; Aves; Galliformes; Phasianidae. The record is from Ensembl.